Molecule: ribosomal RNA, 383 nt
Filed under: uncultured eukaryote
Lineage: Eukaryota
Description: SSU rRNA
Rfam family: Eukaryotic small subunit ribosomal RNA
Source: RNAcentral
AGCUCCAAGAGCAUAUAUUAAAGUUGUUGCAGUUAAAAAGCUCGUAGUUGGACUUCUGGUUUAAUGCACCUGGCCCGCGGCCCACAAGGCCUGUGAGUGCCGGCGCGCGUUUACCAUCCUUCCAGCAACGGCUACCCUUAACUGGGCGGCUGGAACUGGAUCUUUUACUUUGAAAAAAUUAGAGUGUUUAAAGCAGGCGUUUGCUCUGAAUACAUUAGCAUGGAAUAAUAAUCUAGGACUUCGGUUCUAUUUUGUUGGUUUCUAUAACUGAAGUAAUGAUUGAUAGGGAUAGUUGGGGGUGCUAGUAUUGGCCGGUCAGAGGUGAAAUUCUUGGAUUCGGUCAAGACUAACUUAUGCGAAAGCAUUCACCAAGGAUGUCUUCU